UCCUGGUUAGCUCAGUUGGUAGAGCGCUCCACUUGAAAUGGAGAUGUCCCGGGUUCGAUACCCGGACCAGGCG
Molecule: transfer RNA, 73 nt
Filed under: Ixodes scapularis (black-legged tick)
Lineage: Eukaryota; Metazoa; Arthropoda; Arachnida; Ixodida; Ixodidae
Rfam family: tRNA
About the family: Transfer RNA (tRNA) molecules are approximately 80 nucleotides in length. Their secondary structure includes four short double-helical elements and three loops (D, anti-codon, and T loops).
Source: Rfam by way of RNAcentral